RNAcentral lists this ribosomal RNA (429 nucleotides) under Chloroflexota bacterium. RNAcentral's name for it is "Chloroflexi bacterium partial 16S ribosomal RNA". It matches the Rfam family "Bacterial small subunit ribosomal RNA", at positions 355 to 776 of the family's 1533-position model. Lineage: Bacteria; Bacillati; Chloroflexota. The record is from RNAcentral.
UGGGGAAUAUUGCACAAUGGGCGCAAGCCUGAUGCAGCCAUGCCGCGUGUGUGAAGAAGGCAUUCGGGUUGUAAAGCACUUUCAGCGGGGAGGAAGGCGUUAAGGUUAAUAACCUUGGCGAUUGACGUUACCCGCAGAAGAAGCACCGGCUAACUCCGUGCCAGCAGCCGCGGUAAUACGGAGGGUGCAAGCGUUAAUCGGAAUUACUGGGCGUAAAGCGCACGCAGGCGGUCUGUCAAGUCGGAUGUGAAAUCCCCGGGCUCAACCUGGGAACUGCAUUCGAAACUGGCAGGCUAGAGUCUUGUAGAGGGGGGUAGAAUUCCAGGUGUAGCGGUGAAAUGCGUAGAGAUCUGGAGGAAUACCGGUGGCGAAAGCGGCCCCCUGAACGAAGACUGACGCUCAGGUGCGAGAGCGUGAGGAGCAAACAGG